Molecule: ribosomal RNA, 433 nt
Filed under: uncultured bacterium
Lineage: Bacteria
Description: partial 16S ribosomal RNA
Rfam family: Bacterial small subunit ribosomal RNA
Source: RNAcentral
AACGAACGCUGGCGGCAUGCCUAACACAUGCAAGUCGAACGAGACCUUCGGGUCUAGUGGCGCACGGUUGCGUAACGCGUGGGAACCUGCCCUUAGGUUCGGAAUAACUCCCCGAAAGGGGUGCUAAUACCGGAUAAUGUCUUCGGACCAAAGAUUUAUCGCCUUUGGAUGGGCCCGCGUUGGAUUAGCUAGUUGGUAGGGUAAAAGCCUACCAAGGCGACGAUCCAUAGCUGGUCUGAGAGGAUGAUCAGCCACACUGGGACUGAGACACGGCCCAGACUCCUACGGGAGGCAGCAGUGGGGAAUAUUGGACAAUGGGCGAAAGCCUGAUCCAGCAAUGCCGCGUGAGUGAUGAAGGCCUUAGGGUUGUAAAGCUCUUUUACCCGGGAUGAUAAUGACAGUACCGGGAGAAUAAGCUACGGCUAACUCCGUG